UUAGUGUAGGGUUAGAUGGUAGAUGGUAGAGUAUUUAAAUAGUGGAGUAAGGUGGUGGGGUUUAGUGUAGAGUUAGAUGGUAGGGUAUUUAAAUAGUGGAGUAGGGUGGUGGGGUUUAGUGUAGGGUUAGAUGGUAGAUGGUAGGGUAUUUAAAUAGUGGAGUAGGGUGGUGGGGUUUAGUGUAGGGUUAGAUGGUAGGGUAUUUAAAUAGUGGAGUAGGGUGGUGGGGUUUAGUGUAGGGUUAGAUGGUAGGGUAUUUAAAUAGUGGAGUAGGGUGGGGGGGUUUAGUGUAGAGUUAGAUGUUAGAUGGUAGGGUAUUUAAAUAGUGGAGUAGGGUGGUGGGGUUUAGUGUAGGGUUAGAUGGUAGAUGGUAGGGUAUUUAAAUAGUGGAGUAGGGUGGUGGGGUUUAGUGUAGGGUUAGAUGGUAGGGUAUUUA
Oncorhynchus tshawytscha (Chinook salmon) is the source of this 436-nucleotide long non-coding RNA. The record is from Ensembl. NCBI's taxonomy places the organism in Eukaryota, Metazoa, Chordata, Actinopteri, Salmoniformes, Salmonidae.